Non-coding RNA from Osmia lignaria (orchard mason bee), 1912 nucleotides. Lineage: Eukaryota; Metazoa; Arthropoda; Insecta; Hymenoptera; Megachilidae. The record is from RefSeq and is a predicted model, not a curated record.
GUCAGCCCUGCUAUACCUACUUUUUGACACGCUUCUAAAAUGCGCUAAAAUGGUGAUUAUGAGUCAUGCGCUUUCGCGCAAGGUUGCAUUGAACACGAGGACCAAAACGGUAAAUAACAACGUCAAUAAAAAAACAGGUAUUACGUUUUUUCUUUUUUAUUGCAAGCUGAAUCAUUGAGACGAUCAACAGUCGAUCGAAUGGUAUUGUUUAAAAACGUUACGCCCAGCACCAGAUAUUCUAGCUUAAAAUGUGCGAUGAAGAGCAAAGUUUCUCUGAAGUUGAAACCGAUCAAACGGAGUCCCAGUUAUCAUUAUUGGAUCUUCCAGUCGAGAUAUUCUUCCAUAUCUGUUCUUUCUUAGAUGCCUCUACACUAGUACAUGGCUUGAGUUUAGUGUGUAAACAGUUUCAUGAAAUUUUAAAUGAUAACUCACUAUGGAAAGUGAGGAUAAAUCAAAUUUGGCCAAAUACUAAUUAUCCAGUUUUGCCUCCUGCUGAAGAUGAUGAAUUGUUCUGGAAACUAUCAUGUGUGGCAUUGGAAAAGCAAGCCUCAUUAUGGAGGAAAGAAAAUUCCAUGGAGAAAUUAUCACUUACAAUGGUACAAUACAGUACCAUAGAUGGCCUGUUAUUAAUGCAAGAUGGAAGUAUUUGUAUAUCGGGAGCAAGAGAUCGAUCUUUAGCAUGUUGGAAACUUCCUACAAAGGAAGAAUGGGAAAUUACUACUUGUAUAGAAUCUGCUCAUGACGGAUGGAUUUGGGACCUAACAUCGAUAGACAAGAUGGUUUACAGUUGCAGCUGGGAUAAAACUGUGAAAGCAUGGACGCUUACCAACACCGGUCUCGUCCACUUCAAAACUUAUGAGAUGAUCGUCACAGGUGCUCUGUUAUGCGUCGCAUCAUGUCCAGACCUGACUCUUUUUGCUACCGGAUCAUUUUGUAAAAGCGUUCUAGUAUUUGAUCCAAGAUUAGCUUAUAACCCUGUCGUAAAGUACCGACCACAUAAAAGAGCCGUUAUUAGACUGGCUAUGAAUUCUAACUUUAUUUUGUCCGCCAGUGAAGAUGGAACAGUGGCAAUAUGGGAUCAAAGAGCAGGAAGAAUGAUGAAAAACGUUACUAUUUCACAAGAAUCAUUCCCUAUGAGUAUGUGUAUGCAACGAGACAUGGUUUAUAUAGGAGAUGGCAACGCGAAAUUACAUGUACUAGAUCCAAAAAAAGAUUUUCAACCAGUUAAAUGUUAUACCACUGAACACAAGAAAGGUAUUAAUGGUGUUCAUUUGACACGAGGGUGUUUGAUCACUAGUUCAAUGGACAAGACAGUCAGAAUUAACAGUCCAACUGAUCCUCCGCAACAUAUCACCACCUUGGAAUCUAGUUAUGGCGAAAUAGCGAGUACGGAAUAGAAAUCUGGAGACCAAAAGCAAGAAUCCAAUGUGCAUGAAAGCGUCGAUAAAUAAAUGAUUUCUACAAGCAUUUUGCUUUGAUAUGCUGUUCAUCUUCUCAUUUGUACCUAAUUAAAAGUAAAUGAUGGAUUAAAAUAUAUUGUGGAUGAUUACACUCGAUUGAGUAAACAUGAAAAAUAAUCUAUUUUAUUGAAUUCAAAUUGUAACCGCUUAACAGGAGUGUAACUGCUGAUUCAAAAACCCUGAAUGAAACUAUGCUGGUUGAUUAAAACAAAUCUUAAAUAUAAAUGUUAUACGAUUUUAAGCACUUCCAUUUUGGAAGAAAAUAACAUCGAAUAUUAUAUUUUGAACAAAGUAACGUUAAAUUUGAAAGAAGAUAGGUGAAAUGUAAAUCCAAGCAUUAAACUGAUCGAUGUCGCUAGCGUCGCCGGAAGUGUUCGUCUGCUACGCUCUGAAAACGUUCAAUUGUCUAUCUGUAUGAAUUGCACAUAAAUAGAAUAACGUUAUGAAACGAU